UCUGUAGGCGGGCGAUUAAGUCAGAGGUGAAAUCCCACAGCUCAACUGUGGAACUGCCUUUGAUACUGGGUUGUCUUGAGUUACAGUGAAGUAGAUAGAAUAUGUAGUGUAACGGUGAAAUGCAUAGAUAUUACAUAGAAUACCGAUUGCGAAGGCAGUCUACUAACUGUUAACUGACGCUAAGGGACGAAAGCGUGGGGAGCGAACA
This 208-nucleotide ribosomal RNA is filed under the name uncultured bacterium. RNAcentral describes it as "partial 16S ribosomal RNA". It matches the Rfam family "Bacterial small subunit ribosomal RNA", at positions 568 to 774 of the family's 1533-position model. The record is from RNAcentral.